UGAAGAAAGGGUUCAAGCUUUUCUAUCCUUUAGCUUUAGGUCAUGUUGUCCUGUGUAAAUGUUUACCAUUAUCUUUGAGGGUUUCUCAAAUAGUACCAUGUAUAGAGGAGCUCAUAUUAUUUGAUAAAUUAGCAUUUUCUUAACAAGUCUUUAAUAUAAAAGACAAGUAAUUUUUUGAAAUUUCCAAAGUUUUAGGUGAUGUUAAAGAAAACCUAAUGUGAUAGAGUUCUGAAUAGUUUUUUAAUUGACAGGUUCAACUAUAAAAAUAGAUGAAAUUGUAAAGUAAAUUGGUUUCUGAUUUUAUUCUCACAUGUUGUAUAGUCUCUGUCCAAUUUGUAUGGUCUCCUUGUAGCUGAGCUAUACGUAUCUGGCAUUGCUAUGCUUGACAGCCAAACUCACAGUGAGGCCCAGAGCUAACGGAAGUGUAGGCAGGAAAUAGUCACUGAGUCAUGUCAUGGGAAUGCAUGGCUAGUGGGGUUUGAUAACAUUCAGAUAGACCGCACUGUUGAUUUUGGAAGAUUUGUCGUGGGAACCCUAAGUAGAGUCCUUUUGGGGUGCAUUUUUUUAAUGUUUCCUACUGAGUUUAAACAGUUUGGGCUAGUUAUUUCUUUUUUUGGUGCAGCAGCAAAGAAUAACCUGACAUAGUGACCUCUAUAGAGUGUAUCAUAUAAACUCCCUGUUGGCAAUUGUCCUAAAUGGCCAACUGAUCACUCUUAUUUUGCUAGCUAUAGGAAAACAAAGCAAAACAAAAAUUUCAACAAAAAAGCUAUCUUGCUCAAGCCUCUGUGUAGUUGCAUUGUGGUUAUAAUCCCAAUCCCAGUCCUGUUGACCACUGCUCUCUAUCUUCAGCAAUCUUCUCAUUGAUAGUAAACAAUGACCCAAUGCAAUGUGUCAAAAACUGUGAAAGCUGAUGCACGAAGGAGGAGGUAGAGUAGGAGGGCCUUAAAUGCUGAUGGUUUUAAGUCCUUUUCACAUACACUGUGUCUUCCAAGUGUUGGUUCAUUCAUUCAAAUCAAAUCUUUAUGGGAGACAGACUAAAUGCAAGGUAUCAUUCUAAGGGCUGGGGAUACAAAGGUAAAAGCAAAACCUCUGCCUUCCUAGAACUUAGACUAUUCAGGUGAGAAAAUAAUACACAAAACAAGUAGAAUAUGUUAUAUGCUUAAUGGUGAUAAGUGUGUGGGGGGGGGCAUUUUCCCAAGAUCUGGUCCCCGUUCAUCAGUUGAGCCCAGCACAGAACUUGCAUUUUAAUCUUUACUACAAACAGGCUACCCAUCUGCCACUGGUGAAACCUGUGUCAUGUCAUAAGCAUGUCACAUGGCCAGAUAGUAUAGUAAAUACCUACUAUCAUCCUUCAAUGUACAAUUUCAAAUGAAUUUCCCCAGAGCAAAAUAAGCAUGUGGAAUUCCUUAAAACAAAAGCAGACUUUUGAAAUAAGAUUGUGAACUAUUGUCAUUAAAGUCAAUUUACAAUGAUAUCAGAGGAAAUUAUGUUCAUAAUUAUAUAAAAGUUAUUUGAAAGUUUAAAAUAGUUUAUUUAAUGAGCAAUAUUGUUACUUUAUGUCAUGUCCAUUCCUUUCUUAACACAAAGUUCUUCCUUAAGCUCAAGAUUAUUGAUUCAUUUGAUUUUUUUUCUUUUCAUCAAUGUUUCAAUUUUCAGAAUGACCUCAAAGAUGAUUUUUACUCCCUAAAGAAGGAGAAAUACAAUAGGUUACAUUUCUGGUCUGAUAAUUCUCUGAGAGUCCUUGUGCAAAUAAUGAGAACUAGCAAAAUGGGCAGAAAGAAGAAAAGAAAGAGGAAGCAGGCAGUGUUCAAGUGCAGGAGCUUGUGUUUUGGAAGAGGAGUUGGUGGGGGAAGGGAGUGGCCUUGAUGAGGCAAAGAAGUGUGUCAGUAAACAGAAUGGCAGAGGACAAAAACCAUGCCAAUCACAUACCUGGAAACAAGCACGGAUAAGGAAAGAUGGAAGGAGUACAGUAGUCCCCACUUGUCUGGGGUUUUUGUUACACAUGGAACAGUACAAUAAGAUAUUUAGAGAGAAGAAGAAAGACCACAUUCACAUAACCUUUAUCAUGAGGCUGAACCAGUUUGCAGUCC
Molecule: non-coding RNA, 2090 nt
Organism: Microcebus murinus (gray mouse lemur)
Lineage: Eukaryota; Metazoa; Chordata; Mammalia; Primates; Cheirogaleidae
Source: RefSeq, a predicted model, not a curated record